Molecule: non-coding RNA, 24 nt
Filed under: Cricetulus griseus (Chinese hamster)
Lineage: Eukaryota; Metazoa; Chordata; Mammalia; Rodentia; Cricetidae
Source: RNAcentral
CAGGCGCCAUGGUGAGGAGUGGUU